CUGCUCAGCUACAUGUGUGUUUCCUCAUCUCCCUUCUAGGUACAAGCAGAAUCGAUCUGGUCGGCUUACCAUAAAGAGUCUCUGUCUGUCAAAUGGAGGUAUCUUUCCUGAGACUCACCGUCCACUCCUUCUCCAAAAGCUACUCAAAGAUGGAGGUGUGCUGUCACCCAUCCUCACACGACUGAUGAACUUCUUUGUAUUCUCUCGAGGGUAAGUGUCACUGUCAAAGAUUGUGGCCUAGAGCAAUGUUGUGAAAAGUUGCUGCCAUUACAAUUCUGGGCCAAAUCCUAAGGCUUGAUAUUUUAAAGCAAAGGUGUUGGCCGCUUGCCAGGGAAGUAGAAGGAAUUCAUAAAUCACUUAUGGGUCAGACUGCAUGGCCCAGACUGCAUGGCCUCUGAGGUUCCAGCCAUAUUGAACAUUCUGAGUUCUCCUCACACUUAUCUUCCUGCGUUUUGGACUCUUUCAGUCUCACCCCAGUCUUUGGGCCGUAUACUCGGCCCUCUGAGAGUGAGCUGUGGGACAUGUGGGCAGGGAUCCGCAACAAUGACGGGAACUUAGUCAUUGACAGGUAAGAAAUUACCCUUUGCUUUGGUUUCCAGAGAAGUGUUUUUGUGGAGAGUGGGGAUUGCUUGUUCUGUUCCUUGCUGGCUUAUUCCCUAUCACAGGAAGGCUGAUGAUGACCUAUGGGGCAAACCAAAAAGUCAUGGUCUAUAUGAAGGAAGAAAUAGAAAAUAGAGUGAAACUGG
This 746-nucleotide small RNA is filed under the name Pan troglodytes (chimpanzee). RNAcentral's name for it is "retained intron". The record is from RNAcentral. Lineage: Eukaryota; Metazoa; Chordata; Mammalia; Primates; Hominidae.